Molecule: long non-coding RNA, 10187 nt
Filed under: Nicotiana tabacum (common tobacco)
Lineage: Eukaryota; Viridiplantae; Streptophyta; Magnoliopsida; Solanales; Solanaceae
Description: long non-coding RNA (NTAB_LNC007832)
Source: RNAcentral
GCUUAUCCAACUAAACCCUAAGAAACUAUUUGAUUAUAAAUACAUGACAAUCAAAACCAAAAUCAGAAAUUAAAUCGUAAAAAUUAAUACUAAAAUAAAACCCAAAAGGUUAAUGCAAUGUACCUGUGAUUAAAUCAUAAUGUUAUUGGGGAACAAUAACAACGACGACUAGAAUAACUUAUAAUUUCUAAAUCCAAGCCCAAUACCCAUUAAACCCAAAAUAACCUAAUACCCUAAAGUUAAGACCUAAUUUCAAAGAAACUGGAAAUGACAGACCCCCUCCUCUCUUGAAUUCUCAGCAGCCGCACAACCACAGUCCCUCCUCUCCAUCGCUUAAGCUUCUGCCCAACGACCUCUUCGAUUGAAGACCAACAACCAUCAAUCUCUAACUCCCCAAAAAUGGCCGAACUCCCCCCUCUUUAUAACCAAGAGCCACACACCUCUCACCUUCACCAAUCCUUAAAACAUCCCCAGUUGUCACCCCUAAAACUAGCCAUCGGGAACAAGCACACACAUAUAGUUGAAGGAAAUCGAUGACCACUCUCAACCCCUCCCCCAUCGCUCAGAUCUGAGUAAAAGGAGGUAGCGAGGCAAUCUGAUCAAAGUUGAUGAGGUUUCCGGCGAGGUUUUCCAUUUUAGAUUUUGUUCGCGAGUCCGAUAUCUAGUCGUUUGUGGAACAAAUACUCGAUUUUAUGAGUAAUACGAGCCUGAGAUUUUGGUGAUUAAUUUGAAAGUGUGGCUGCUUGAGGUCUGUUUUUACUUUGAAUUUAAUCUUUUCUCCGUGUUCCUGUUUCUUUGAUGAUUAUGACUGCCCUAUCAUUAUUCGGUUAUUUUGUGUUUUGUUUAAAAUUAUCUCUUAAUUUGAUUUGUUUAUGCUUAGUUUGAAUAUGAUACAUUAUAUAGAACAGAAAUGAAUUAGUUGGUUAGUUUUCAGAAUGAUGAACACAUGAUAUGUUUGGUUUAAUAAUUUUGGGUUAACAUUCAUCGAGAGUGCAAAGUAAACCACGAUAGUGAAUGAAAUUAAGGGUAGUUGUGUUUGGAUUGAUUCAAGUAACUAAAAAGGUUAAUGGCAAUAAAUUAAAGUUUACGCCUUCCUGUUGGAGUGUUGGGUCAUGAAACUUGACUUGGAAUGUUUGAUAGAACUUUUCUAUAUUAAGCUCAAAAACUUUUCAUGCUCGCAUUCUUGUUUAUUUAAUGGACUGCUAGUAUAAUGUUUAGGCCAUCGAUACAUGGGUAGGCAAAUCUUUAGGACGUUUGUGAUUUAAUUUCUGUUAAGGCGAGAGGUUGUCCCUUUAGUCGAUUAUAUUAUCUGGGGAAUGCUCCGAAGAUUUUGUAUAUAUUUUUAUCCGGGGUAUCCCCUAAAGUAUUUGUAUUGAAAGUCCAACAAUAGAACACUUUGAGGAAGCAUAGAAUAGUAUUUUUAUUUUUACUUUUAUUUUUGUUUCAUUAGGUGGGGACGACCUCGAGCCUCUUUUGAUUGUUUUUUUUUUAGUUUUUAUUUUUUUGUGUUUUUCUACCUCAAUUUGAGUAUUUUUUUAAAGCCAACUUGAUCAUGUACGCAACCGUACUAGUUACAGGACUCGAAGAAUGCCUAACACCUUCUCCUCGAGUCAAAUGAACCCCCUUAUCUAGAAUCUUUGGUGCAAACUGGUUUAAGAGUCAAAUAUGUUUUGAAGGAAAAUUGUUAUUUUGAAAAUGGUGACCUUGCACACCGACACCAAUGUUAGGUGGCGAUUCUGAAAAAUCCUUCGAAAUACAAUAUUUUUGUCACUUUUCAAUUUUUAAAACCCUUUUGAGCUCAAAAAUUACUUUAUUAUUUUAAAGGAGUUAGUGAGGUAAAAAAAGGGGUGUGACACCGGGUAGUUUUAGGACUCUACCAUGUAUUACUUGUAUUAUUUGCACUCAACUUGUUAGUUUAAAUACUUAAAUUUAUAAUUAUAAUUGGAUAAAUGAUUUGUAAAGACCGAGCUUCAUUACUUUGAGUCUUGGCAAAAUACUUGAUUGUUAGCGGAACUUAUGCCUUCUUUGAGUAUUAAUCUUAUGUGGUAGUCAUAAAUCAGAGCUUGUAGAGUAUUCUCUAUUCCUGUGGAUCGGGAUGAAUGCCUCAGCGGUAUAAUAGGUUCAUCUAUGGUUCGUGUCGGUCAACCCUCGGCAGUGUAUACACUAUUAUGGAUCGGGUCGUACGACCUCAACAUAAAUCGUGCGUGAUAUUGCUCGGAGUCUGAUUAUGCUUGAUAUUUCUUCUUAAUCUGAGACUAGGAAAUUUGUAAUGACCUGGCCGGUCGUUUCAUGAGUUGCCGCUCUGUUUCCCCCAUUUUUGUUUUCUUAUGUGAUGUUCAGCUACAUCUCAUCGUAUAAUGUUAGUUGGUUCGGGUUCAUAGUAGUUUUGGAGUGUUAUGAGACACUUAGUCUUUUAAGUUGGCAAUUUAGUUGGAAAGGUCAACCGGAAGUUGACUUGUGAGUAAAUGAUCUCGUAACAUGGUGUUUAUGGUUUGGAUAGCUUCAUGAGGUGAUUUGGGACUUAGGAGCAUGUUCAGAAUGUAAUUCGGAGAUCCGUGGUAGAUUUAGGCUUGAAUUGGCGAAAUUGGAAUUUUGGCGUUUUUCGGUUGGUAGCGAAAAUUUUGAUAUCGGGGUCGGAAUGGAAUUCCGAAAAUUGAAGUAGGUCCGUUGUAUCAUUUGUGAUGUAUGUGCAAAGAUUAGGUCAUUCAAAUUAGGUUUGAUAGACUCUUUGAUUGAUUGCGGAAUUCGGAAGUUUUGGAUCCUUAGGCUUGAAUCCGAGGGUGUUUUGAUGAUUCGAUGUUGUUUUAAGUGUUCCGAAGGUUGGUAUUGUUGAUACCCAAUUUUUCCCUAUGUAUUUUUAUAUACAAAAUACUUUCAAAAUAGCAUAUAUAUGCAUAUAUAAGCAUGCCCAAGUGUUUUGGUAUUUUUUCUAAUUUUUUUAAAAAGAUUUUAAAAUUAAUUUAUUGUCCACUUUAGCAGUAACUAUUCCCAAGAUUAUCGUUUUGGUGGAUAACUUAUCUUAUUAUCAUAUUUAUACCAAAAUAUAGUUAAGGUAAUUUUUGUUUGUUUUUACAAAUUUUAUUUGGUAUUUUAAAGCUAAAUUGCAUGUAAUUGCAAUUCUAGCCUACUUUAAGAUUAAUAGCAUUUUACAAUUGUAAAAUUAUUUCCAGUAUUUUUAAAUUAAUAUUUAUAUAUUAUUAAUUGGCUCAGUACUUUUAGUUUGCUUUUAAAAUUAUUUACUAUUUUUAUAAAAUAAAAGGGAAAACUAGCUAUUUAACAUCUAGCCUCAUUCUAUUUCAAAUACAACCUUUUUACCUUUCAAUUUUAACCAUUAUUUGACCCAAUCUUAACCUAUUUGGACCGGCCCAAUUUUUAAUUUUACCAAACCCACAACCCGAUCCAAAUGACCCUUACCCGGUUCCCACCUACCCUCCUAAAUCUGGGUCGUUGAUCACACAAGAUCAACGGCCGUAACUCACCCUUCCAUAAUUAAACCAAACGACCUACCCUAAUCUCCCUCAUUCACACCUGACCCGCCGCCUUUGAAUCCCAAACGUUCUCAAAUCCUCUCAUCAACUCUUCGAAACCCUAGCCUCCUCCUACCUUAUUUCACCAUGUUUUCACCGAAAUUCAUGGCUUCUCAAGCCAUGGACGGUCUGUACUCACCCCUCUCCAUCAUUAUACCUUGGGUGUUCGAGGUUUUGAAGGCUGACUUCGAUGGUUCUUGUAGGCUCUUCUCUGUUUAUUUUCUUAGAUCUAUGGUAUGUCCAUGUUCUACUGGGCUUCUAAAGUGUUUACCCCAAAUUUUCUUUUCAAAAAUCGUUUCUGAAAAAGUUUUCAAAAAUGAUCUUUCUGAUUCUUUAUUUAUGUGUGUUUGUCUGUGCUAUGCUCGUAUGGCUUCUUUUACUACGCGUGUACUGUUCUCUUACUCUUCUUUUUCUACUAUACCUGUUACUCUUGUUAAUCCUUGUUAUGUUUCCCUUACUCUUCUACUAUAUGUGCUUACUGUUGUGUUUUUUUUAUUUUGUUUGCUCUAUUAGACUUUGUUUACGUUCUUGCUGAACAUGUUUCCUCUGUUUUAAUUUAAGUCUGUAUCACCCCUUCUUUUCUGAACUUGUUUAAGUUUGAGUUUCUCAAAUAUGUUCUCUAUGACCUCAAAUUAGCUUUUUUUCUUUGUAUCAUGUCUGUUUGUUUCUCAUAAGUCUUUGAAAUAGACUUCUGAGCCUGUUUCAAUGACUUGCUUUCUUAUCUCUAUGAAACCCUAGGAUUUGGGGGUUUUUGGCAAUUUUGAAUUUGUGCGAGUUAGGGUUCCGCUUUGGGACCCUGAACCCUCAGACUCAUUGUGAGUCUGCAAACUGGACUUGUACCCUUUCUUGCUCAUGAUUCUGAACCUCUCUUUGAGUAAAAUCUCUUUUAUAUAACUUCUUGAUUCACAUGUUUGUGUGCUUUUAUAUAUGAGAACUCUUCUUUCAAAAGGUCUUUACCAACUAAUUGAUUGAUUUCGAAUUCCUUUUAAUGAGCCCUGACUGAUUUNNNNNNNNNNNNNNNNNNNNNNNNNNNNNNNNNNNNNNNNNNNNNNNNNNNNNNNNNNNNNNNNNNNNNNNNNNNNNNNNNNNNNNNNNNNNNNNNNNNNNNNNNNNNNNNNNNNNNNNNNNNNNNNNNNNNNNNNNNNNNNNNNNNNNNNNNNNNNNNNNNNNNNNNNNNNNNNNNNNNNNNNNNNNNNNNNNNNNNNNNNNNNGCAACUUUGAUUUCCCUGGCUGUUUGAUUGAUUUCCUUUCCUUAUUUUUUCCAAGCUGUGCACCACUGAGCUUUUCCUUAAAUAAACUUCUAUGUAUUUACCCCUUUUGUGCUACUUUGAAAAGGUUUUAAUCAAAAAUUUCUUUCCUUAAAUGUCUUCUACCCAUUUGAAAUCAAAUUCCUUAACUGAAGGGAAAUUCUAUGUGAUUGAUUGCAAGUUAUUUUUUUACCUUUCUUACUUUCUUCUUUGCUCUAUAAAAGGGACUACCCUUCUGCACUUUUGAGACAACUUGGAGUUCAAUACCUCGAACUUUUAGAUCAAUACUUUCAACUUACUUACACACUUUAUUGCUUUGAGUUCAAUACUCUUACAACAUUCUGCUCUUUUCUGGGAUCUUUUGGAACUUUUGCUUGCAACUUGGCUUUUUCAAAACUACUUUUACUUGUUUAUUUUGCCUGAAACUGGUAUGUUCUAAUUUAGCCUUUUUGCCUCAGCCCUAUGUGUUUAUUUACAGUUUUCUACAAUCCUGUUUACACUGUUGUUCAUGAUUAAUGUUAACUAUGUGUGUUCUUUCCUUGCAUCUAUUUUCUGUUAUGAAUCCCUACCCCUAUUCCCUUCUAUGUGUUUGAGUUAAGGUUCAUGGCCUGGCAGUAUCCAAAUUACUGCCCAGGUCCAAACCUGAUCCUCAAUGGAUCCUAACUCCCAAUUUUGGCUGACAGGCUGGUCAGAGGUGUGCCAACACUCUUAAAUUGUUGGGCAUGACCACCAGCAUGCCAUGGCCUUCCCUAAUUCCCCUCUAUUCACUUACACUUAUUCUUAGACUCUUAAGUUCUGCCCCCUCUUAUGAGCCUUGCUUUGGGAUCUUGAGUUCCCUCUAAACUUGGACAUCUGAGGGUUGGCCCUUCCACUACACUAUUAUCUCAAUUCUGCAAUGUGUUUGGGGUGUAAGCACUGCCCGAAGCCCUUUGAGACUCUUGGGAACUUUGACACAUCCCAAACAUGAGAAAGGCUUUUGGAAAUCUGAUCUUGAAAGUUGGUUUAUCUCAUAUUGUUGGACUUUGAGUCUGAAUUAGGCUGUUUGGUUGUAGCUUGAAUUUCUGAUGUAAUUUUACUUUUCUUGAUUCAUUCUAGCCUGUAAUAUUUUAUAAUAACUUAUGGGGUUCUAAGUAAAAAAGGAGAGGGUCAUUUAUGUAUGCAAAGGGUAAACAACAUGCUCAUAGGUGUUACUAUUUACAAGUUCUACACUUCUGCAUAUCAUAUAGAAAUCCUGCCUAUAAGUUUCUGCAUAUAGAAAUCAUGUAUAAGUUUCUGCACUUAGGAAUUUAGAAAUCCUGCCUAUAAGUUAUGCAUUACACGUAGAAAUCUUGACUAUAAGUUGUUUCAUUACUGCAUUAGAAACCAUGCCUAUAAGUUUCUGCAUAUAGAAAUCAUGACUAUAGUUUUGUUUCUGCAUUUCUACAUAUUCAUAUGUCGUUAGGCAAACAAUCAUAGGUUUAAUAAUAAUCAACUUCAUUCUAUAUACCAUGCCUAUAGGGCUCCUGCACUAACAUAAUCAUUUUAAAAUCAAUAACGCUUAGAAAUCAUGCCUAUAGGAGCAGCCGUCUGAAUCUGAUUCGUUUAUUUUAUCUAAAAUCAGUAGUAAUGUUUGUUUAAUAUCUACAGAAUUUAAUUGGUCCUAAAAUCAGUAACCUUUCUUUAAAAUCAGUAUACUUCCACCUAGGUAAGAAGUAGGUAGUUGUUUAACUAUGUCAGUUUUAAUAAAUUGCAACCAGACAAGGCCUAAUUCAGACUCCUCAUCUGAGAAAUAUGUGAUGAAGCAGCAUGUCCUAACGCUUUAGUUUAAUUCAGACUAUAACCAGUAUUUGAAGUAAUGAUAAAUAAUUUGCUCCUUUAAGUGAGGAGGCAUGUUUGAGCCCUUAAAUUGCUAUUUGUUUCCCCCUACUUGCUUAUGUGUUUUGUUUGUCGUAUUAGAAUUUUGUCCUUUUAAAACUCUGGAAAAAAAACCAACCUACCUCCCUUUAGGACUAGUAGUCCCAAAUGCCUCCGGGACUGAUAGGAUCGAGACGGGUAAUACCAUGCAGUAAGCAAUGACACUAUUCCGCAUUUAAUACCUUAACGGGGUGGGAAAGGGUAGAUAUGGACAUGAUGACCGGUGCGCUAAUACCACAUGCGACCCCCCUUUUGAGGAGUGAUUGUCGGGUAUUGCAUUGAUGUGAUCCAUAUUGUUUGUAAACCUAGGACCCCUUCCCCUUUACUUGUUAUCCUUUUUUUUAACUGUCCAAACUAUUUGCUUAAGAUUUCUAUUUUCUUUAUCUUUCUUCAAACAUUCAAUUCACUUGCAACAUUAUCCCCUUCUAUUUGAGACCUUUAUUUGCUUACUUGUUAGUUAAAUUCACAAUUGUAACAUNNNNNNNNNNNNNNNNNNNNNNNNNNNNNNNNNNNNNNNNNNNNNNNNNNNNNNNNNNNNNNNNNNNNNNNNNNNNNNNNNNNNNNNNNNNNNNNNNNNNNNNNNNNNNNNNNNNNNNNNNNNNNNNNNNNNNNNNNNNNNNNNNNNNNNNNNNNNNNNNNNNNNNNNNGCCCUUACCCGAACUCUGGUUUUCCAACUCGAACUCUUAUUUAGUGUCCUAAUGCACUUUAAUCAUUAGGUGGCGACUCUUCAACCCAAAAACCCAAUUCCCAAGAGGGAACGAGUUGUCCUCCCAAAUGUCAUGAACCCGAUUUUGCUUUUGGAAAAAGAAGGCGCGACAGCGUGGCGACUCUGCUGGGGACUUCUUUAGGCUUUUACCAUCUCAUGUUACUUGUGACUUCACUACUUCUUUAUUACCUUUAUUUAAUGUCUUUACCUCUUUUCUGCUAUGAAACUGACUUGGCUCUUUGUUUUUUUUCUUUAAUGCUUUCUUUUACUGCUUUCCUUCACUGUCGUUGUAAUUAUGAGCAAUUAUUGUAAUCAUUACUUUAUUAACGUGCAAAUACGUGACAACUUGUUUCAUUCUUGUAAUUGCAUAUUCAACAUCAUAUUCCACUCGUGUCAAACAAAAUACUAUAGCAACGCUUAUAAUGAGUGGUUGCGUCGUUCCAAUAUUAUCAGCCACUAAAUUUGGCAAAGGCGUAUUUGCGGUAAAACCAGUCGAUCAGCGUUGCAGUCGACGGUUCUGUGCCUUUCCCUCUUGAGUUGUCCACUCAAGGGUACCGGUCUAAUACCCAUAGAAACCUUACUCUAUUCAAUUGUGCAUGCAUCAACGUCAAACCUAGCCGAGUCAGUUAUGUUGUCUGCAUAAUGACUCUUUAAGAUAGUCUUGUCCAAAGUCCACUAGGUUCCCUUGGAACCCAAACGGACAUUACCACGUCUGUGCAUUUAUUUGGAGAACUAAAUGCUGCUUAUGCCAAUUAUUGAUAUUUAAAUAGUCGAGUCCAGCGGGGGUAAGGGUCUAACAUUUUAUUUUGUAGAAAAUGAGGCACGAAGUCCCCAUAUUCGGCAUGGUAACCAACAUUCACCCAAGAUUGCUAAGUUGGUGGGAAGACCUUCAGUCAAGUGAUCAAACUCUCGUCCGCAAAUAUUUGGGAAAUUUGCCUUCUCUUUUAGAGAUCCAACCCGACAACAAAAUCAUAGAGGCUGCAACUCUAUUCUGGAUGGCGAUAGAUUGGUAUUUUGCUUCGGGGAACUUGAAAUGACACCUCUACUCGAGGAAAUAGGAGGAUUAGCUGGUAUUCCAUGGGAGGCUCCGAGUUUACUUAUGUCGGAAAAUCGCAAGGGUAGGGGCUUUCUCAAAAUGAUGGGAUUAAAGAAGAACACAGACUUGACCUGCUUAAAGGAUUCCUACAUUCCUUUCGACUAUCUGUACGAGAGCGGCCAUAGCAAGUCCUACCUCACUUACCCAGAUGAAUUCUCCCUCACAUCAUUAGGGCAUAUCCACAGAAGAGUCUUCGUCUUUAUGUUCUGCUUUUUGGGGAUGAUAGUAUUUCCUUUGAAGAAGGCUAGGAUCCAUACCAUAAUGGCCAUGGUCACCAAGACUUUGAUGGAAGGAAUUGGCGGGCAGCCUUUUAGCAUAGUACCUAUGAUCGUUGCAGAGAUAUACCGAGCCCUGGAAAACUGUCAACAAUGGGCCAAACACUUUGAGGGUUGUAACUUACUGCUCUAACUCUAGCUCAUGGAGCACCUCCAAAAGGGUGAAUAUCGGCAAGAGAUUCUUCACAGAGACUUGGAUGAUCAUAUCGCCUUCCAUCAGCCAAGGCGAAUGAACUAUAUACCUAACAUGUUUGCCCAACCAGAAGAUGCUAAAGGGUGGGUAGAGUUGUUCGAAAAUCUAAAAGAGGACCAAGUGCAAUGGAUGUUCGAAUGGUUCCCUACUGAAGAAUUCAUUGUCCGAUCUCGGGAUGCACCGUUUCUUAUACUCAUUGGUCUGAGAGGAACUUAUCCUUAUGUCCCUCUCUGAGUCAUGAGGAAGGCAGGAAGGAAGCAGGUUAUACCAAGGGUCGACAAAAUAAAUCACUUGAGGGCCAACUUUCAAGAUGACGAUAGUCCAUACAAGUGUCAAGCUCAGCAUAUGUGGCACUACAAAAUCAUCCUGGGAAAGGAUUCCAUAGAACCAGAGAGGUACCAUGCUAGUUAUACUCCAUACUAUCCAAGUUGGUUGGAAGACGAUCAUAGUGGGUUAGGAUAACCCGAGCUUGUUCGAGGUCAGAGAAUUAUCGACGAAAAGGUUGAAGUACAGGUUAAGUACAACCAAUUGCGCAAAAGGAUUCGGGAAUGCGAAAGUGAGCACCGGGGAAUUCAGGAAGCCCAUCAAAAGCUGAUUGAAGAAUGGAAAGACAUGGCUGUCAGCGCCAACAAGCGGUUGGGAUAUUUGGAGCGGGAUUUAGUGGAGCUAGAAAGUAAGUUCAUCUAGAGGAUCGAAAACUGCCAGAAUGCUGAGGGAAAUGAAGGAGGACACCUGGAUAGAGCCUACUUGCUGCUGGGAUUGCAUGAGCUGGUGAAGCUGUUCAAUAGAGCUAAAGAUGCUGAGUUUGGGGAAGGUCCUUCUGGGACCAAGUAUCUAGGAGUCUCUUCUUUUGCUUUAAGAAUGUAAUAAGGCCAAUGGCCAUUAGUGACAUUUUAUUUUCUGCUAUUUUUAGUGUCGUUUUGGGAUUCAUCUUAUUUUAUCAAUAAAAUGAGGCAUUUAGCAUUAUAAGUUCUCCAAAUCAACUUAUCGCUAGGCCUACCUCGGGCAUAACGAGGCUCCCAAAUUAGGACAUGAAUUAUUUUCUCGCACUAUGUGUUUAAAUAUCGCAACAUCUUUUCCUUAUAAUCCUCACUAACUUGUUACCUUGUGUUUUAUUUUUCAUUUUUAUUCUCCUCCCCAAAGGUUAGUUCGUGCACUAUCGCAUCAUUAUUUUACUUCACAAGGCCCUUCUAUACAAGUUGUGAGUCGAGGAGCACGCCUUAACAAUUGGUCCAUCAGAACCACCAGGG